This is a long non-coding RNA of Hemicordylus capensis (graceful crag lizard), 741 nucleotides long. RefSeq lists it as uncharacterized. The record is from RefSeq and is a predicted model, not a curated record. Lineage: Eukaryota; Metazoa; Chordata; Lepidosauria; Squamata; Cordylidae. The transcript has 3 exons.
UUUAGAUUAGCUGAAGCAUCUUCGAUAAAUUGGCUGUCUUCGGCUGUCAGUUUAUUAGCAGCUUAUCAGUUUAGUUGUCAAGAUGGGUGGCUGUUGGUCAUGUGUGGCCUGCAGGCUGUCUGGGCAGAGAACUGAAGCCCAGCCUGCUGUGUUCACACGUGUUUGUGCUCCCUGUGGGAACUUCAGUGGUCACAAGUUCACCACCACUAUUCACAUCACACAGCUUCUCCUUGAAAUUCAGGCGGCCCUUGAAGGUCACCUGCUUGGCUGAUUUCCACUGUGUUUCUUAAGCUUGGAGGUCCUAGACCGGUGAAGCUGUAUCACUCAGGAGCUGCUGGCUGGCACUGACAGGUCAUCCCAGAAACCCAACCCAUGUUGAAGAAUUUUCUGGGGGACUCCCCAAUGUUUUGGGGAACACUCUGGGGAAAGAGCUCAUUGAGGAACCCUCCAUGCCAGAACCCAUUCCAGCAUCUCGCAUCACCAACAACACCCUGGGGGAAGAGCUCACUGAGGAACACUCCGUGCCAGAACCCCUUCCAGCACCUUGCCUCACCAAUGACAUCCUGGGGGAAGAGCUCACUGAGAAACCCUCCGUGCCAGAACCCCUUCCAGCACCUCAUAUCACCAAAAACAUCCUGGGGGAAGAGCUCACUGAGGAACCCUCCAUGCCAGAACCACUUCCAGCACCUCGCAUGACCAAUGACAUUCUGGGGGAAGAGCUCACUGAGGAACCCUCCAUGC